CCUACGGGAGGCAGCAGUGAGGAAUAUUGGUCAAUGGACGAGAGUCUGAACCAGCCAAGUAGCGUGAAGGAUGACUGCCCUAUGGGUUGUAAACUUCUUUUAUAUGGGAAUAAAAUGUUCCACGUGUGGGAUUUUGUAUGUACCAUAUGAAUAAGGAUCGGCUAACUCCGUGCCAGCAGCCGCGGUAAUACGGAGGAUCCGAGCGUUAUCCGGAUUUAUUGGGUUGAAAGGGAGCGUAGGUGGAUUGUUAAGUCAGUUGUGAAAGUUUGCGGCUCAACCGUAAAAUGGCAGUUGAAACUGGCAGUCUUGAGUACAGUAGAGGUGGGCGGAAUUCGUGGUGUAGCGGUGAAAUGCUUAGAUAUCACGAAGAACUCCGAUUGGGAAGACAGUUCACUGGACUGCAACUGACACUGAGGCUCGAAAGUGUGGGUAUCAAACAGGAUUAGAUACCCUUGUAGUC
RNAcentral lists this ribosomal RNA (460 nucleotides) under uncultured bacterium. Its description in RNAcentral is "partial 16S ribosomal RNA". It matches the Rfam family "Bacterial small subunit ribosomal RNA", at positions 338 to 795 of the family's 1533-position model. The record is from RNAcentral.